CCCUUAGAUGUUCUGGGCUGCACGCGCGCUACACUGAAGCGUUCAACGAGUAUUUCACCUUGCCCGGGAGGGUUGGGUAAUCUUUUUAAAACGCUUCGUGAUGGGGAUAGAUUAUUGCAAUUAUUAAUCUUCAACGAGGAAUUCCUAGUAAGCGCGAGUCAUCAGCUCGUGCUGAUUACGUCCCUGCCCUUUGUACACACCGCCCGUCGCUCCUACCGAUUGAAUGGUCCGGUGAAGCGCUCGGACCGCGGCCUCUUGACGGUUUUCCGUCGAUUGGCUGUGGGAAGUUCGUUAAACCUUAUCAUUUAGAGGAAGGAGAAGUCGUAACA
This 329-nucleotide ribosomal RNA is filed under the name uncultured eukaryote. Its description in RNAcentral is "partial 18S ribosomal RNA". It matches the Rfam family "Eukaryotic small subunit ribosomal RNA", at positions 1470 to 1796 of the family's 1831-position model. The record is from RNAcentral.